This 115-nucleotide ribosomal RNA is filed under the name Danio rerio (zebrafish). Lineage: Eukaryota; Metazoa; Chordata; Actinopteri; Cypriniformes; Danionidae. The record is from RNAcentral.
GCCGGCAGCUAGCUCUCUUCAACUCUCACAUGGUCGCCCACUGAAGCUAAGCAGGGCUGCGCCCGGUCAGUACCUGGAUGGGAGACCACAUGGGAAAGCUAGGUUGCUGCCGGAA